Molecule: ribosomal RNA, 468 nt
Filed under: uncultured bacterium
Lineage: Bacteria
Description: partial 16S ribosomal RNA
Rfam family: Bacterial small subunit ribosomal RNA
Source: RNAcentral
GACGAACGCUGGCGGCGUGCUUAAUACAUGCAAGUCGAACGGAAAGGCCCUGCUUUUGUGGGGUGCUCGAGUGGCGAACGGGUGAGUAACACGUGAGUAACCUGCCCUUGACUUUGGUAUAACUUCAGGAAACUGGGGCUAAUACCGGAUAGGAGCUCCUGCUGCAUGGUGGGGGUUGGAAAGUUUCGGCGGUUGGGGAUGGACUCGCGGCUUAUCAGCUUGUUGGUGGGGUAGUGGCUUACCAAGGCUUUGACGGGUAGCCGGCCUGAGAGGGUGACCGGCCACAUUGGGACUGAGAUACGGCCCAGACUCCUACGGGAGGCAGCAGUGGGGAAUAUUGCACAAUGGGCGGAAGCCUGAUGCAGCAACGCCGCGUGCGGGAUGACGGCCUUCGGGUUGUAAACCGCUUUCGCCUGUGACGAAGCGUGAGUGACGGUAAUGGGUAAAGAAGCACCGGCUAACUACGUG